RNAcentral lists this ribosomal RNA (478 nucleotides) under uncultured bacterium. RNAcentral's name for it is "partial 16S ribosomal RNA". It matches the Rfam family "Bacterial small subunit ribosomal RNA", at positions 28 to 523 of the family's 1533-position model. The record is from RNAcentral.
GACGAACGCUGGCGGCGUGCUUAACACAUGCAAGUCGAACGGUAAGGCCCUUCGGGGUACACGAGUGGCGAACGGGUGAGUAACACGUGGGUGAUCUGCCCUGCACUUCGGGAUAAGCCUGGGAAACUGGGUCUAAUACCGGAUAGGACCACUGCCUGCAUGGGUGGUGGUGGAAAGCUUUUGCGGUGUGGGAUGGGCCCGCGGCCUAUCAGCUUGUUGGUGGGGUGAUGGCCUACCAAGGCGACGACGGGUAGCCGGCCGGGGAGGGUAACCGGCCACACUGGGACUGAGAUACGGCCCAGACUCCUACGGGAGGCAGCAGUGGGGAAUAUUGCACAAUGGGCGCAAGCCUGGUGCAGCGACGCCGCGUGAGGGAUGACGGCCUUCGGGUUGUAAACCUCUUUCAGCACCGACGAAGCGCAAGUGACGGUAGGUGCAGAAGAAGGACCGGCCAACUACGUGCCAGCAGCCGCAGUAA